GUUUCAAUUCCUUGGGAUUGUUUGCCAUUUUUGCAAACGAUUCCCUUAUCGAUUCCAGUCGCCCUGAAUGACGUCACCGCGUUGCGGAGCGUCAUUUACCUGACAGGAAACAUGGCGGCUCAAACGAUCAAAAGUUUGGUUAUACUUUACGAGAGUGGAUGACAACAGGGCAACUUGCAAUACUUGCAAAGUAGAUGCUUCAUUUAAGGAAACACUACGAAUAACACGCGAUGACCUUAAAUGAAUGUCGUGUUUUUAAUUCCGCUCCGGACUCGUGAAUCUCAACCCAGCAGCAGCAGUAACGUUUGCACGUCCUCUCCCGUUAAUGCGGCAGGUAAAUAAUCAACUAACAGUGCAUAUUAUGUUAGCGCGAUCUGCCUUAUUACAAACCUGCCAUUAUUGUGCAUUUAGUGACCAUGAUGAGACAGAGUCUGGCUCAGAUGCUGGCAGCUCUCGCUGCAGUCUGCCGGCAGCGUCUCCUUUCAGGCCAGGAUAGACGAAUGUCACCGAGCAGUGACUCAGUUUGUGGUCAAAGGCUUGCACCCGUUUGCCACAGCAGAUGUAAGUGAAUGUGUUUAAUUGUAGGCAGGGACAUUACUGGAUAUUCUUGUGUAAUUGCUACAGAAUAAUUUAUGUUAUACUUUGUUAUUGCUACAGAAGAAUAUUUAUUUUAUUAUUUUACAUUUACAAUUGUUUUCCUGGGGACCCUGUGACGCCCCAUUGAAGAGCCGUAGGCUGGAUCUCUUAAGAUCUCACUGCUGGGUUUGUAAGGCCAUGUUACUCCUAAAUUUCUACCUUGUUCAAAGAGAAGAUAUAAAACAAAGUUCUAAGCUACUCGACCUUAGUGUUCUCCUUUUUUAAAAAGAAUCGAUAAAGAAUCGAAUCGUUAAACAGAAUCGAAAAUGGAAUCGGAAUCGUGAAAAUCUUAUCAAUACCCAUCCCUGUGUAUGAGUGUCUUGCACCUUGCAGUGAACUGUCUGUGUUUACUUUCAUGCAGUCUUCUCUUUAUGGUAGAUUUGGAUAUCGGUACAACCUCCUGGAGUGUUGUUCACUUGGUUGGCUUCACCGUGGAAUGAUUUUGCGUAGGGGUGUCAAAUUAUCGCGUUAAUUGCGAUUAAUUAAUUACAAUGCUAUUUAGCGCGUUAUGUUUUUUAAUCUCGUUAAUCUAAUUUUUAAUCUCUUGACGUCAUUGAUUUUGUAUGAGAGUCAAGGUGAGAAGUGGUGAUUAGCUUACAGUGUGGAUAUGGAGGCGCAUCUGAGAGUUGUUGGCC
Long non-coding RNA from Astatotilapia calliptera (eastern happy), 1271 nucleotides. The record is from Ensembl. Lineage: Eukaryota; Metazoa; Chordata; Actinopteri; Cichliformes; Cichlidae.